CAAUGGUACCCGACGUUCGGAUAGAUCGAAGAGUCGCAAUCGCAACACUCAGAACCUACAUGAAUAUGGUUACUAUAUAAUUCAUCCUUUUGACCCCUGUGUUUUGGAUGACUCAGGGUUAAACUGUCAACCCUGAUCAGAUCAUCCGAAUCGUGCUCAACUCAAACAGUCCUGUGACUCCUCACAAGGACUACCCUAGCCAAGGUUUUGCUAAAUUGAAACAUGACUGUACACAACUCCUAAACUAGAGUGGUCAAUCCCAUCUUGACACACGCACCGACAAGUCAAGUACUUGACUACACCCAGCAGUCUUCCGUCACUGAAUUAAAAAUUCAGGUAGUCCAGUGCCUAAGUGCAGUGAGUUACUUGCAAGUCACCGUGGCGGUCUC
Molecule: long non-coding RNA, 389 nt
Filed under: Elaeis guineensis (African oil palm)
Lineage: Eukaryota; Viridiplantae; Streptophyta; Magnoliopsida; Arecales; Arecaceae
Description: long non-coding RNA (EGUI_LNC057328)
Source: RNAcentral